Molecule: unclassified non-coding RNA, 233 nt
Filed under: Hevea brasiliensis (rubber tree)
Lineage: Eukaryota; Viridiplantae; Streptophyta; Magnoliopsida; Malpighiales; Euphorbiaceae
Source: RNAcentral
UGUUUAUUGCUGUAUAUGCAAGCUGUGAGGCAACUAGUCCAGAAAGAUAGAGAGCUUCCAGGGCGUCAAGGGUUUUAGUUUUGAGAAUGAGAGAUUUCAAAGAUUAUAAUAGUUGUCACUGAUGGAGAAUUUGGAUGGACAACUCAUGGAUAGCAUAAAAAAGAGAGUGAACCGCAUUAAAUAUCUGUCUUUAAUUCGUGUAUGAAUUCAUAAUUUCACGUACUCAUGUUUAA